UGCAGGACGCAAGUCACGUGAAAGCGAGACCCUCCUUCGGGACGGACUGCAAGGUGCUGCAUGGUUGUCGUCAGCUCGUGCCGUGAGGUGUCGGGUUAAGUCCCAUUAACGAGCGCAACCCUCAUCGUUAGUUACCAGCGGAUCAUGCCGGGGACUCUAACGAGACUGCCACCGUAAGGUGAGAGGAAGGUGGGGAUGACGUCAAAUCAGCACGGCCCUUAUAUCCAGGGCUACACACGUGUUACAAUGGCCAGUACAAAGGGCAGCUACCUGGUGACAGGAUGCUAAUCUCGAAAACUGGUCUCAGUUCGGAUCGAAGUCUGCAACUCGACUUCGUGAAGUUGGAUUCGCUAGUAAUCGCGCAUCAGCAAUGGCGCGGUGAAUACGUUCCCGGGCCGUU
This 400-nucleotide ribosomal RNA is filed under the name uncultured Sphingobacteriales bacterium. RNAcentral's name for it is "bacterial SSU rRNA". It matches the Rfam family "Bacterial small subunit ribosomal RNA", at positions 986 to 1382 of the family's 1533-position model. The record is from RNAcentral. Lineage: Bacteria; Pseudomonadati; Bacteroidota; Sphingobacteriia; Sphingobacteriales.